ACUCGUCUGGGCGAGUAUAAAUAGUAAUUAGGCCCAGAGCGUCCUGGCACGAUCGGCCGGGGGUUUAG
Molecule: ribozyme, 68 nt
Filed under: unclassified sequences
Description: pistol ribozyme
Rfam family: Pistol ribozyme
Source: RNAcentral